UGGGGAAUAUUGGACAAUGGGGGGAACCCUGAUCCAGCCAUGCCGCGUGUGUGAAGAAGGCCUUAUGGUUGUAAAGCACUUUAAGCGAGGAGGAGGGUACUGGUAUUAAUACUACCAGCUACUGGACGUUACUCGCAGAAUAAGCACCGGCUAACUCUGUGCCAGCAGCCGCGGUAAUACAGAGGGUGCAAGCGUUAAUCGGAAUUACUGGGCGUAAAGCGCGCGUAGGUGGUUCGUUAAGUUGAAUGUGAAAGCCCCGGGCUCAACCUGGGAACUGCAUCCAAAACUGGCGAGCUAGAGUAGGGCAGAGGGUGGUGGAAUUUCCUGUGUAGCGGAGAAAUGCGUAGAUAUAGGAAGGAACACCAGUGGCGAAGGCGACCACCUGGGCUCAUACUGACACUGAGGUGCGAAAGCGUGGGGAGCAAACAGG
RNAcentral lists this ribosomal RNA (430 nucleotides) under Pseudomonadota bacterium. RNAcentral describes it as "Proteobacteria bacterium partial 16S ribosomal RNA". It matches the Rfam family "Bacterial small subunit ribosomal RNA", at positions 355 to 776 of the family's 1533-position model. The record is from RNAcentral. Lineage: Bacteria; Pseudomonadati; Pseudomonadota.